AAAAAUCAACAAACAGAAAUUGGGCUGAAGUAGUCCUCUGAUUGUCACAUGCAUCCUUAGAACAAACUGUCCUUUGAUAAAUAUGACUACUUGAGGGAAAUGGUAACUGAGGGGUACUGGGCAGGCAGGU
This is a non-coding RNA of Sorex fumeus (smoky shrew), 130 nucleotides long. RefSeq annotates it as small Cajal body-specific RNA 8. The transcript has a single exon. The record is from RefSeq and is a predicted model, not a curated record. NCBI's taxonomy places the organism in Eukaryota, Metazoa, Chordata, Mammalia, Eulipotyphla, Soricidae.